RNAcentral lists this ribosomal RNA (447 nucleotides) under uncultured bacterium. RNAcentral's name for it is "bacterial SSU rRNA". It matches the Rfam family "Bacterial small subunit ribosomal RNA", at positions 331 to 797 of the family's 1533-position model. The record is from RNAcentral.
CCAGACUCCUACGGGAGGCAGCAGUGGGGGAUAUUGCACAAUGGGGGGAACCCUGAUGCAGCGACGCCGCGUGGGUGAAGAAGUAUUUCGGUAUGUAAAGCCCUAUCGGCAGGGAAGAAAUUGGACGGUACCUGACUAAGAAGCCCCGGCUAACUACGUGCCAGCAGCCGCGGGAAUACGUAGGGGGCAAGCGUUAUCCGGAUUUACUGGGUGUAAAGGGAGCGUAGACGGUUGUAUAAGUCUGGAGUGAAAGCCCGGGGCCCAACCCCGGGACUGCUUUGGAAACUGUGUAACUUGAGUACAGGAGGGGCAGGCGGAAUUCCUGGUGUAGCGGUGAAAUGCGUAGAUAUCAGGAGGAACACCGGCGGCGAAGGCGGCCUGCUGGACUGAAACUGACGUUGAGGCUCGAAAGCGUGGGGAGCAAACAGGAUUAGAUACCCGCGUACA